CCCCAGACUCCUACGGGAGGCAGCAGUGGGGGAUAUUGCACAAUGGGGGAACCCUGAUGCAGCGACGCCGCGUGGGUGAAGGAGUAUUUCGGUAUGUAAAGCCCUAUCGGCAGGGAAGAAGCAAGACGGUGCCUGACUAAGAAGCCCCGGCUAACUACGUGCCAGCAGCCGCGGUAAUACGUAGGGGGCAAGCGUUAUCCGGAAUUACUGGGGGUAAAGGGAGCGUAGACGGUGAUGCAAGUCUGGAGUGAAAGGCGGGGGCCCAACCCCCGGACUGCUCUGGAAACUGUAUGACUUGAGUGCAGGAGAGGUAAGCGGAAUUCCUAGUGUAGCGGUGAAAUGCGUAGAUAUUAGGAGGAACACCAGUGGCGAAGGCGGCUUACUGGACUGUAACUGACGUUGAGGCUCGAAAGCGUGGGGAGCAAACAGGAUUAGAUACCCUGGUAGC
This 448-nucleotide ribosomal RNA is filed under the name uncultured bacterium. Its description in RNAcentral is "bacterial SSU rRNA". It matches the Rfam family "Bacterial small subunit ribosomal RNA", at positions 329 to 794 of the family's 1533-position model. The record is from RNAcentral.